This 821-nucleotide ribosomal RNA is filed under the name uncultured Bacillota bacterium. Its description in RNAcentral is "bacterial SSU rRNA". It matches the Rfam family "Bacterial small subunit ribosomal RNA", at positions 74 to 902 of the family's 1533-position model. The record is from RNAcentral. Lineage: Bacteria; Bacillati; Bacillota.
GGGUAGCAAUACCUGAGUACAGCGGCGCACGGGUGAGUAACACGUGGAUAACCUGCCUCAAAGUGGGGAAUAACACCGGGAAACCGGUGCUAAUACCGCAUAUUCUGACGAAGUCUGCGGAUUUUGUCAGGAAAGGAGCAAUUCGCUAUGAGAGGGGUCCGCGGCUGAUUAGCUAGUUGGUGAGGUAAUGGCUCACCAAGGCCACGAUCAGUAGCCGGUCUGAGAGGACGGUCGGUCACACUGGAACUGAGACACGGUCCAGACUCCUACGGGAGGCAGCAGUGGGGAAUUUUUCGCAAUGGGGGCAACCCUGACGAAGCAAUGCCGCGUGGAUGAUGAAGUAUCUCGGUACGUAAAAUCCUUUCGACGGGGACGAAACCGCAAGGUUGACGGUACCCGUAGAAGAAGCCCCGGCUAACUCCGUGCCAGCAGCCGCGGUAAUACGGGGGGGGCAAGCGUUGUUCGGAAUUACUGGGCGUAAAGGGUGCGUAGGCGGCUCUCUAAGUCGGAUGUGAAAACUCUGGGCUCAACCCAGAGCCUGCAUCCGAAACUGGAGGGCUAGGGUUUUGGAGGGGAAAGCGGAAUUCCAGGUGUAGCGGUGAAAUGCGUAGAUAUCUGGAGGAACACCGGUGGCGAAGGCGGCUUUCUGGACAAAUACCGACGCUGAGGCACGAAAGCUAGGGGAGCAAACAGGAUUAGAUACCCUGGUAGUCCUAGCCCUAAACUAUGGAUACUUGCUGUGGGGGGGAUUGAAGCCCCUUGUGGCGAAGCUAACGCAUUAAGUAUCCCGCCUGGGGAGUACGGUCGCAAGGCUGAAACUC